GAUGAACGCUGGCGGCGUGCCUAAUACAUGCAAGUCGAGCGAAUGGAUUAAGAGCUUGCUCUUAUGAAGUUAGCGGCGGACGGGUGAGUAACACGUGGGUAACCUGCCCAUAAGACUGGGAUAACUCCGGGAAACCGGGGCUAAUACCGGAUAACAUUUUGAACCGCAUGGUUCGAAGUUGAAAGGCGGCUUCGGCUGUUACUUAUGGAUGGACCCGCGUCGCAUUAGCUAGUUGGUGAGGUAACGGCUCACCAAGGCAACGAUGCGUAGCCGACCUGAGAGGGUGAUCGGCCACACUGGGACUGAGACACGGCCCAGACUCCUACGGGAGGCAGCAGUAGGGAAUCCUCCGCAAUGGACGAAAGUCUGACGGAGCAACGCCGCGUGAGUGAUGAAGGCUUUCGGGUCGUAAAACUCUGUUGUUAGGGAAGAACAAGUGCUAGUUGAAUAAGCUGGCACCUUGACGGUACCUAACCAGAAAGCCACGGCUAACUACGUGCCAGCCGCCGCAGUAA
RNAcentral lists this ribosomal RNA (515 nucleotides) under uncultured bacterium. RNAcentral describes it as "partial 16S ribosomal RNA". It matches the Rfam family "Bacterial small subunit ribosomal RNA", at positions 28 to 523 of the family's 1533-position model. The record is from RNAcentral.